AAAAAAAAAAAAAAAAAGUUGAUAGAACCUUGUUCAAUUCUUAUGCAGAACAAUGGGUUCUUACAGCAGUUGGUGAAAAUGUGAAACUUAGGUGGGAAACCUCUGAUUGAACAAUUAAAACCAUAUAUCUGUUCAGAACACAACCUAUACAGAGUCACCAUUGAAUAGGAAAAUACGAAUUAUACUAAAAUUUCAAUAAAUACCUUUUGGAAAUAAAAGGAAUAUCA
Molecule: unclassified non-coding RNA, 227 nt
Filed under: Hevea brasiliensis (rubber tree)
Lineage: Eukaryota; Viridiplantae; Streptophyta; Magnoliopsida; Malpighiales; Euphorbiaceae
Source: RNAcentral